This 200-nucleotide ribosomal RNA is filed under the name uncultured bacterium. Its description in RNAcentral is "partial 16S ribosomal RNA". It matches the Rfam family "Bacterial small subunit ribosomal RNA", at positions 8 to 210 of the family's 1533-position model. The record is from RNAcentral.
AGAGUUUGAUCAUGGCUCAGGACGAACGCUGGCGGCGUGCUUAACACAUGCAAGUCGAACGAUGAUGCCCUUCGGGGUGGAUUAGUGGCGAACGGGUGAGUAACACGUGGGCAACCUGCCCCCUACUCUGGGAUAACUCCGGGAAACCGGGGCUAAUACUGGAUAUGACCUGCUGCCGCAUGGUGGUGGGUGGAAAGUUU